RNAcentral lists this ribosomal RNA (466 nucleotides) under uncultured Glomus. RNAcentral's name for it is "SSU rRNA". It matches the Rfam family "Eukaryotic small subunit ribosomal RNA", at positions 569 to 1041 of the family's 1831-position model. The record is from RNAcentral. Lineage: Eukaryota; Fungi; Glomeromycota; Glomeromycetes; Glomerales; Glomeraceae.
AGCAGCCGCGGUAAUUCCAACUCCAAUAGCGUAUAUUAAAGUUGUUGCAGUUAAAAAGCUCGUAGUUGAAUUUCGGGAUCAGUACGCUGGUCAUGCCUUUGGUAUGCACUGGUGUCACUGGUUUCUCCCUUCUGAAGAUCCGUGAUGUCAUUAAUUUGGUGUCGCGGGGAAUCAGGACUGUUACUUUGAAAAAUUAGAGUGUUUAAAGCAGGCUCACGCUUGAAUACAUUAGCAUGGAAUAAUGAAAUAGGACGUUUGACCCUAUUUUGUUGGUUUCUAGGAUCGACGUAAUGAUUAAUAGGGAUAGUUGGGGCAUUAGUAUUCAAUUGUCAGAGGUGAAAUUCUUGGAUUUAUUGAAGACUAACUACUGCGAAAGCAUUUGCCAAGGAUGUUUUCAUUAAUCAAGAACGAAGUUAGGGGAUCGAAGACGAUCAGAUACCGUCGUAGUCUUAACCAUAAAACUAUG